GUCUGGUCCGAAGGUAGUGAGUUAUCUCACUUGAUUGUUCACAGUCAGUUACAGACUGAACUCCUGGUUCUACUCUUUCCCCCUUCCCAUUACUAUACUUGACUAGUCUUAA
RNAcentral lists this Y RNA (112 nucleotides) under Propithecus coquereli (Coquerel's sifaka). RNAcentral describes it as "Y RNA (ENSPCOG00000004210.1)". It matches the Rfam family "Y RNA". Rfam says of the family: Y RNAs are components of the Ro ribonucleoprotein particle (Ro RNP), in association with Ro60 and La proteins. Lineage: Eukaryota; Metazoa; Chordata; Mammalia; Primates; Indriidae. The record is from Rfam by way of RNAcentral.